UUCGAUUAAGCCAUGCGAGUCGAGAGUCUUAGGGACUCGGCGUACCGCUCAGUAACACGUGGGUAACCUGCCCUAUGCUGGGGAAUAACCUCGGGAAACUGAGAAUAAUGCCCCAUAGUCCACCAUGCCUGGAACGGUUGGUGGAUCAAAGCUCCGGCGGCAUAGGAUGGGCCUGCGGCGUAUCAGGUUGUAGGGGGUGUAAUGUACCCUCUAGCCAUCAACGCGUACGGGUGUUGGGAGACAUAGCCCGGAGAUGGAUUCUGAGACACGAAUCCAGACCCUACGGGGUGCAGCAGGCGCGAAAACUUGGCAAUGCGAGCAAUCGUGACCAGGGAACUCCAAGUGGCUGGGGUAAGACCCAGUCUUUUCUUGACUCUUCAACGGUCUUGGAAUAAGGGGUGGGUAAGGACGGUGCCAGCCGCCGCGGUAAUACCGGCGCCUCAAGUGGUAGUCGAUUUUAUUGGGCCUAAAACGUCCGUAGCCUGUUUGUACAUUCGGGGGUAAAUCAACCAGCUCAACUGAUUGAAUUCUGCGAGCACGGCCAGACUUGGGACCGGGUGAGGUGUGGGGUACUCUCAGGGUAGGGGUAAAAUCCUGUCAUCCUGAGAGGACCACCUGUUGCGAAGGCGCCACACUAGAACGGAUCCGACGGUCAGGGACGAAGCCUAGGGGCACGAACCGGAUUAGAUACCCGGGUAGUCCUAGGUGUAAACGCUGUGGACUUGAUGUUGGGAGUGCUCCGAGCACCCUCAGUGUCGAAGCGAAGGUGAUAAGUCCACUGCCUGGGGAGUACGGUCGCAAGGCUGAAACUUAAAGGAAUUGGCGGGGGAGCACUGCAACCUGAGGAUUGUGCG
RNAcentral lists this ribosomal RNA (854 nucleotides) under uncultured archaeon. RNAcentral describes it as "bacterial SSU rRNA". It matches the Rfam family "Archaeal small subunit ribosomal RNA", at positions 39 to 899 of the family's 1478-position model. The record is from RNAcentral.